Molecule: long non-coding RNA, 961 nt
Organism: Myotis davidii
Lineage: Eukaryota; Metazoa; Chordata; Mammalia; Chiroptera; Vespertilionidae
Exons: 3
Source: RefSeq, a predicted model, not a curated record
CAGUUGAUAUUAAUGAUUGGAGCUCAGAUUGAAUGUAAGUUACAAAUAGAAGAUUUAAUGACUAUUUCUAUGAGUGAAAUAUGAACAGUUAUAUCAAGACCAAGUUAUUAAAACAAAAUCGAGAGCUGAAGCAAAUAUGAUUCAGGAUAUAGUAAUUUAUUGUUUGAUUUUUUCAGGCAUUAGAUUUACUACUGGUCUAUCUGAUAAUUCACUGACUUAUUUUGAGACUUCUCCCAGACAAAAUGAAUCGAUCCCUGCUGGCUAUGGUGGAGAUUGAUGUGCUGUGAAUUUCAUAAUCACCCAAAUGAGUACCAGAGGAGUCUAAGAAACCUUGGCAACUGGCUACUUGCUUUCACCAGGAAUAGGGACCUUUUGUCUGAAAUUUCCUGCCCUCAGAUUGCACCUCCUUACCUAUCUUUUUUGGCCUGGCUUGUACUAAGCCUGUUGAGAUGUGGUGUUAUGAUUUCUUUCUGAGUUUAAACCACAGCUAUUCAUGAGUUUAUUCAAGUUACCUAUCAAGCUUAAUUACUUGGUAAUUUCUUUACCUUCUCAUUUUAAUCAGUUAUGAUUCCUUUAUACUUAAAUAAUUCUUGAAUUUAUGUUCUUUCUCCUGAACCUAGCACAGAGCCGACUUCUUGGCAUAAAGUAGAUAUCAGCAAUAUUUGAAUAUCUCUGUUGUCACUACUCAGAUUUAACUCAUAAUUUCUUGCAUCAGUUAUUGCAACUAAGUAUUUUCGUUCCCUUCUGUUCUCAUAUUUCAUUUUUCAUCCUUGGCACUGUUACCAGAGAGAUCUUUCCAAAAUGCUAAUCUUAUUUUAUUUCCUGAUAAAAACUAGGAUUUUUGUCCAAAACAUAUUAAAAUAGAAUGUCACUGCAUAAAAUAGACAAAAGUAGAAUCCCUCUAGUUGAGUUAGUAAUUGGGUCAGCUGUCAUAGCCUUUCCCUUUUUACUUCUUCCACCU